RNAcentral lists this ribosomal RNA (465 nucleotides) under uncultured bacterium. Its description in RNAcentral is "partial 16S ribosomal RNA". It matches the Rfam family "Bacterial small subunit ribosomal RNA", at positions 28 to 507 of the family's 1533-position model. The record is from RNAcentral.
GACGAACGCUGGCGGCGUGCUUAACACAUGCAAGUCGUACGGUAAGGCCCUUUCGGGGGUCCACGAGUGGCGAACGGGUGAGUAACACGUGAGUAACCUGCCCACAACUUUGGGAUAACGCUAGGAAACUGGUGCUAAUACUGGAUAUGUGCUCCUGCUGCAUGGUGGGGGUUGGAAAGCUCCGGCGGUUGUGGAUGGACUCGCGGCCUAUCAGCUUGUUGGUGGGGUAGUGGCCUACCAAGGCGGCGACGGGUAGCCGGCCUGAGAGGGUGACCGGCCACAUUGGGACUGAGAUACGGCCCAGACUCCUACGGGAGACAGCAGUGGGGAAUAUUGCACAAUGGGCGCAAGCCUGAUGCAGCAACGCCGCGUGCGGGAUGACGGCCUUCGGGUUGUAAACCGCUUUCAGCAGGGACGAAGCUUUUUGUGACGGUACCUGCAGAAGAAGCACCGGCUAACUACGUG